This 246-nucleotide ribosomal RNA is filed under the name uncultured bacterium. Its description in RNAcentral is "partial 16S ribosomal RNA". It matches the Rfam family "Bacterial small subunit ribosomal RNA", at positions 335 to 594 of the family's 1533-position model. The record is from RNAcentral.
ACUCCUACGGGAGGCAGCAGUGGGGAAUCUUGGACAAUGGGCGCAAGCCUGAUCCAGCCAUGCCGCGUGAGUGACGAAGGCCUUUAGGGGUUGUAAAAGCUCUUUUAGCAGGGAAGAUAAUGACGGGAUACCUGCAGAAUAAGCCCCGGCUAACUUCGUGCCAGCAGCCGCGGUGAUACGAAGGGGCUAGCGUUGUUCGGAAUUACUGGGCGUAAAGCGCACGUAGGCGGAUCAUUUAGUCAGGGU